AGCUCCAAGAGUGUAUAUUAAAGUUGUUGCGGUUAAAAAGCUCGUAGUUGGACUUGAGGGAUUUAUAUAAAGGGAUCUUUGUUUUAAAGCAAAGUCAUUCCUAUAUAUUUUUUCCUUUCUUUUUAUUUUUUUUUAAAGAUUGGGGUCAAACCUUUUCUUGUAGAAAUAGAUAGUUUACUUUGAAAAAAUUAGAGUGUUUAAAGCAGACAUGACAUGUACAAUUGAAUAUUACAGCAUGGGAUAAUAGAAUAGGACAUUAACCUUGAUUUUGUUGGUUUUGAAGGUUAAUAGUAAUGAUUAAAAGGGAUAGUUGGGGUCACUUGUAUUUGAUCGCUAGGGGUGAAAUCCUAUGAUUGAUCAAAGACAAACUACUGCGAAAGCAUUUGACAAGGAUGUUUUCA
This 401-nucleotide ribosomal RNA is filed under the name uncultured eukaryote. RNAcentral's name for it is "partial small subunit ribosomal RNA". It matches the Rfam family "Eukaryotic small subunit ribosomal RNA", at positions 587 to 972 of the family's 1831-position model. The record is from RNAcentral.